RNAcentral lists this ribosomal RNA (450 nucleotides) under uncultured bacterium. Its description in RNAcentral is "partial 16S ribosomal RNA". It matches the Rfam family "Bacterial small subunit ribosomal RNA", at positions 354 to 796 of the family's 1533-position model. The record is from RNAcentral.
GUGGGGAAUUUUGGACAAUGGGCGCAAGCCUGAUCCAGCAAUGCCGCGUGCAGGAAGAAGGCCUUCGGGUUGUAAACUGCUUUUGUACGGAACGAAACGGUCCGGGUUAAUACCCUGGGCUAAUGACGGUACCGUAAGAAUAAGCACCGGCUAACUACGUGCCAGCAGCCGCGGUAAUACGUAGGGUGCAAGCGUUAAUCGGAAUUACUGGGCGUAAAGCGUGCGCAGGCGGUUUUGUAAGACAGGCGUGAAAUCCCCGGGCUCAACCUGGGAAUUGCGAUUGUGACUGCAAGGAUGGAGUGCGGCAGAGGGGGAUGGAAUUCCGCGUGUAGCAGUGAAAUGCGUAGAUAUGCGGAGGAACACCGAUGGCGAAGGCAAUCCCCUGGGCCUGCACUGACGCUCAUGCACGAAAGCGUGGGGAGCAAACAGGAUUAGAAACCCCAGUAGUCC